RNAcentral lists this ribosomal RNA (385 nucleotides) under uncultured bacterium. Its description in RNAcentral is "partial 16S ribosomal RNA". It matches the Rfam family "Bacterial small subunit ribosomal RNA", at positions 338 to 720 of the family's 1533-position model. The record is from RNAcentral.
CCUACGGGCGGCAGCAGUGAGGAAUAUUGGUCAAUGGCCGUAAGGCUGAACCAGCCAAGUAGCGUGAGGGAAGACUGCCCUAUGGGUUGUAAACCUCUUUUGUGCGGGGACAAAGGUUGCCACGUGUGGAUGGUUGCAGGUACCGCAUGAAUAAGGACCGGCUAAUUCCGUGCCAGCAGCCGCGGUAAUACGGAAGGUCCGGGCGUUAUCCGGAUUUAUUGGGUUUAAAGGGAGCGUAGGCCGGUCUUUAAGCGUGCGGUGAAAUUUUGUGGCUCAACCAUGGGAGGGCGGGGCGAACUGGAGUCGUUGGGUGCACGGAAGGCAGGGGGAAUUGGGGGUGUAGCGGUGAAAGGAUUGGAUAUCACGAAGAACCCGGAUUGGGAGG